This 257-nucleotide ribosomal RNA is filed under the name uncultured bacterium. RNAcentral describes it as "partial 16S ribosomal RNA". It matches the Rfam family "Bacterial small subunit ribosomal RNA", at positions 29 to 278 of the family's 1533-position model. The record is from RNAcentral.
AACGAACGCUGGCGGCGCGCCUAAUACAUGCAAGUCGAACGAGAAGGUGUAGCAAUACACUUGUACAGUGGCGAACGGGUGAGGAAUGCAUGGGCAACCUACCCUCGAGUGGGGAAUAACCAGCCGAAAGGUUGGCUAAUACCGCGUACGCUUCCGGGGUCUCCGGAUCCGGAAGGAAAGUCACACCGUGGGUGUGACGCUCAAGGAUGGGCUCAUGUCCUAUCAGCUUGGGUGAGGUACGGCUCACCAAGGCAACG